GAUGAACGCUGGCGGCGUGCCUAACACAUGCAAGUCGAACGGAGUUGUCACCAUGAAGUUUUCGGAUGGAUUGGUAACAACUUAGUGGCGGACGGGUGAGUAACGCGUGGGUAACCUGCCUCAUACUGGGGGAUAACAGCUGGAAACGGCUGCUAAAACCGCAUAAGAUCGCAUCACCGCAUGGUGAGGCGGUUAAAUAUCGAAAGAUAGGUAUGAGAUGGGCCCGCGUCUGAUUAGCUAGUUGGUGAGAUAAGAGCCCACCAAGGCGACGAUCAGUAGCCGGCUUGAGAGAGUGACCGGCCACAUUGGGACUGAGACACGGCCCAAACUCCUACGGGAGGCAGCAGUGGGGAAUAUUGCACAAUGGGGGAAACCCUGGAUGCAGCGACGCCGCGUGAGUGAAGAAGUGCUUCGGCAUGUAAAGCUCUAUCAGCAGGGAAGAGAUGACGGUACCUGACUAAGAAGCCCCGGUAACUACGUG
RNAcentral lists this ribosomal RNA (481 nucleotides) under uncultured bacterium. Its description in RNAcentral is "bacterial SSU rRNA". It matches the Rfam family "Bacterial small subunit ribosomal RNA", at positions 28 to 507 of the family's 1533-position model. The record is from RNAcentral.